AGACGAGGGCAGAGGAAAGGCAGCCUGGGGGAACCAGGAAGUGGUCCAGAGGGAGGUGCCCACAUUCACCAUUGAGUGCCCAGCAGUGCCUCCAACCCAGGCAUAGGGAGUGCAGAACACCAGGGACCCUGGAACGCCCAUCAGCGAGACUCUAGCCCCAUCCAUGGCCAUGACUAAUGUGCUGCUGCCCCAGGCCAAGGAGGAGGGGCAAAAUUUAAUGCCAACGCCUGUGUUUUCUGAGGAUCUCAGGAUGGGGGCCAUCUUCUCUUCACAACAAUCUCUUCUCUGAAGUUCAUAGAUGGUGAAAUAAAUACACAAAGCCAAUGUCCAAGAAAGGAUUUUUCCACAACAGUGGGUCUUCUCACAAGAUCAUUGACGACGGGACAUAUUGUUACCCCACAAGCACAUUCUCUGAAACCCACCAGGGGCAAACGGAAUGCAUGCCGGGUAGGCAGUGAUAUAUUGUAAAAGAAGCCAGAAGCCUGAGUUGGACUGAAAGCCUCAGUGAGCACAGGCCUGCAUUGCAAAUACAUUUUAAUACAGGAUUGGAACUCAGCUAUAAAUUUGGAGGACAGUGACGAAUUUCAACUUCCAACCACUGGCAGUCCAUACAUACCCUACCCUCCUGCCCAGCCCAUCGUUUGGAGAGGCUUGGAUUAAAGUGGCCAGGGGCCUAUUCUUGUGUUCA
Long non-coding RNA from Suricata suricatta (meerkat), 688 nucleotides. RefSeq lists it as uncharacterized. NCBI's taxonomy places the organism in Eukaryota, Metazoa, Chordata, Mammalia, Carnivora, Herpestidae. The transcript has 4 exons. The record is from RefSeq and is a predicted model, not a curated record.